CAGUAGCCGCGGUAAUACGUAGGUGGCAAGCGUUGUCCGGAAUUAUUGGGCGUAAAGGGCUCGCAGGCGGUUUCUUAAGUCUGAUGUGAAAGCCCCCGGCUCAACCGGGGAGGGUCAUUGGAGACUGGGAAACUUGAGUGCAGAAGAGGAGAGUGGAAUUCCACGUGUAGCGGUGAAAUGCGUAGAGAUGUGGAGGAACACCAGUGGCGAAGGCGACUCUCUGGUCUGUAACUGACGCUGAGGAGCGAAAGCGUGGGGAGCGAACAGGAUUAGAUACCCCUGUAGUCCCUGUCUCUUAUAC
This 301-nucleotide ribosomal RNA is filed under the name uncultured bacterium. Its description in RNAcentral is "partial 16S ribosomal RNA". It matches the Rfam family "Bacterial small subunit ribosomal RNA", at positions 509 to 807 of the family's 1533-position model. The record is from RNAcentral.